RNAcentral lists this ribosomal RNA (253 nucleotides) under uncultured bacterium. RNAcentral describes it as "partial 16S ribosomal RNA". It matches the Rfam family "Bacterial small subunit ribosomal RNA", at positions 524 to 776 of the family's 1533-position model. The record is from RNAcentral.
UACGAAGGGGGCUAGCGUUGUUCGGAUUUACUGGGCGUAAAGCGCACGUAGGCGGAUUGUUAAGUCGGGGGUGAAAUCCUGGAGCUCAACUCCAGAAUUGCCUUCGAUACUGGCUUUCUAGAGGCUGGAAGAGGUUAGUGGAAUUCCCAGUGUAGAGGUGAAAUUCGUAGAUAUUGGGAAGAACACCAGAGGCGAAGGCGGCCUACUGGGCUGCACCUGACGCUGAGCCGCGAAAGCCAGGGGAGCGAACGGG